AUUGAACGCUGGCGGCAGGCCUAACACAUGCAAGUCGAGCGGAUGAAGGGAGCUUGCUCCUGGAUUCAGCGGCGGACGGGUGAGUAAUGCCUAGGAAUCUGCCUGGUAGUGGGGGAUAACGUCCGGAAACGGGCGCUAAUACCGCAUACGUCCAGAGGGAGAAAGUGGGGGAUCUUCGGACCUCACGCUAUCAGAUGAGCCUAGGUCGGAUUAGCUAGUUGGUGGGGUAAAGGCCUACCAAGGCGACGAUCCGUGACUGGUCUGAGAGGAUGAUCAGUCACACUGGAACUGAGACACGGUCCAGACUCCUACGGGAGGCAGCAGUGGGGAAUAUUGGACAAUGGGCGAAGGCCUGAUCCAGCCAGGCCGCGUGUGUGAAGAAGGUCUUCGGAUUGUAGAGCACUUUGAGUUGGGAGGAAGGGCAGUAAGUUAAUACGUUGCUGUUUUGACGUUACCAACAGAAUAAGCACCGGCUAACUUCGUG
This 484-nucleotide ribosomal RNA is filed under the name uncultured bacterium. RNAcentral describes it as "partial 16S ribosomal RNA". It matches the Rfam family "Bacterial small subunit ribosomal RNA", at positions 30 to 507 of the family's 1533-position model. The record is from RNAcentral.